UUUUUGGAGAGUUUGAUCUUGGCUCAGGACGAACGCUGGCGGCGUGCCUAAUACAUGCAAGUCGAGCGCGGGAAACUCUUCUGAUCCCUUCGGGGUGAAGAGAGUGGAACGAGCGGCGGACGGGUGAGUAACACGUGGGCAACCUACCUAUAAGACUGGGAUAACUCGCGGAAACGUGAGCUAAUACCGGAUAAUACUUUUUAUUGCAUAAUAAGAAA
RNAcentral lists this ribosomal RNA (218 nucleotides) under Oceanobacillus caeni. Its description in RNAcentral is "partial 16S ribosomal RNA". It matches the Rfam family "Bacterial small subunit ribosomal RNA", at positions 1 to 200 of the family's 1533-position model. The record is from RNAcentral. Lineage: Bacteria; Bacillati; Bacillota; Bacilli; Caryophanales; Bacillaceae.